ACUCAAAUGAAUUGACGGGGACCCGCACAAGCGGUGGAGCGUGUGGUUUAAUUCGACGCUAAGCGAAGAACCUUACCAGGACUUGACAUCCCGGUCGUACUCCUUGGAAACAAGGAGGUCAGCCUGCUGGACCGGUGACAGGUGCUGCAUGGUCGUCGUCAGCUCGUGUCGUGAGAUGUUGGGUUAAGUCCCGCAACGAGCGCAACCCCUGUCGUGUGUUGGAUUUUUCACACGAGACCGCCUGGGUUAACCAGGAGGAAGGUGGGGAUGACGUCAGAUCAGCAUGGCCCUUAUGUCCUGGGCGACACACGCGCUACAAUGGCCGGCCCAAUGGGUUGCGAAGCCGCAAGGCGAAGCUAAUCCCAUCAAAGCCGGUCUCAGUUCGGAUUGGAGGCUGCAACUCGCCUCCAUGAAGCCGGAAUCGCUAGUAAACGCGGAUCAGCCAUGCCGCGUUGAAUACGUUCUCGGGUCUUGUACACACCGCCCGU
Molecule: ribosomal RNA, 488 nt
Filed under: uncultured bacterium
Lineage: Bacteria
Description: partial 16S ribosomal RNA
Rfam family: Bacterial small subunit ribosomal RNA
Source: RNAcentral